Molecule: ribosomal RNA, 460 nt
Filed under: uncultured bacterium
Lineage: Bacteria
Description: partial 16S ribosomal RNA
Rfam family: Bacterial small subunit ribosomal RNA
Source: RNAcentral
CCUACGGGAGGCAGCAGUGAGGAAUAUUGGUCAAUGGGCGCGAGCCUGAACCAGCCAAGUAGCGUGAAGGAUGACUGCCCUAUGGGUUGUAAACUUCUUUUAUAGGGGAUUAAAGUUCGGCACGUGUGCCUUUUUGUAUGUACCUUAUGAAUAAGGAUCGGCUAACUCCGUGCCAGCAGCCGCGGUAAUACGGAGGAUCCGAGCGUUAUCCGGAUUUAUUGGGUUUAAAGGGAGCGUAGGUGGGCGAUUAAGUCAGUUGUGAAAGUUUGCGGCUCAACCGUAAAAUUGCAGUUGAUACUGGGUGUCUUGAGUACAGUAGAGGUAGGCGGAAUGCGUGGUGUAGCGGUGAAAUGCUUAGAUAUCACGAAGAACUCCGAUUGCGAAGGCAGCCUACUGAACUGCAACUGACGCUGAUGCUCGAAAGUGUGGGUAUCAAACAGGAUUAGAUACCCCAGUAGUC